Molecule: long non-coding RNA, 1505 nt
Organism: Gasterosteus aculeatus aculeatus (three-spined stickleback)
Lineage: Eukaryota; Metazoa; Chordata; Actinopteri; Perciformes; Gasterosteidae
Source: Ensembl
UGAAGGGGGGCGCCUUUGAAGUGCGUCAGCAUCUGUGAAGUGAACACCCACCCAAUUAGCACCCGCGGCUAACGAGCUACGUAGGGCGUCCCGGCUUUGAUGUGGCCCAGGUGACAAAAAGCACUUGCAGCCGGGGGGGGGGGGGGGGCGCAGGCGACCUCCUCUAAGAGCAUCCGAAAGAACCGUCGGAUUGACUCAUCUUUCUCCAGUAACAUUAGAAAAUAACUUAAAGAGGAAAUUGAAUACAGAAUUGAGCCGGCGGCUCACAUGUUUUUCCCGCCCACAUGGCAAUGUAGCUAGUGGAACUACUGGAAUAAAAGGCCUUUUGGUAGGUCUGAUUAUUGGGACAUUUGACUGCUGUUCAGAACCUGUGGUCGUCCUCUGGUGACGUCACAGGCUGUGGGCGUGGCCGUAACAGCCGCAGGGUCAGCUGACUCCCGACACGCAAAGAGAAGUGUGAAGCUGACACACGUUGUCCUGCACUUUGUCACGUGACCCCGACUUGUCUCGUGUCUGAGACGCGCCGUCUGCUCAGGGAGGCUGCGGCGCGGCGCCGUCAUUUUCCUUCACUUUCUUUCUUCAUCUUCUUCUUCUUCAUUUACCUCUCGGGAGGAAAAGGCUGCCGUGUCCCAGUCGUCGUGCCCCGCUUAUCAACGAGCUGCAGACAGCCGCUGUUAUCUAACGCGUGAGAGAGACACCCUGUGUGUGUGUGUGUGUCUCUCUCUCACACACACACACAAACUCUCUCACACUUGUGUUAAACAUUUCUGAUGUUGUUAAAAGGAGACACCGCUCUCGUUAGUUGUGAUUUAAAGUCUGUCUCACCGUCUGUUCUCCAGCUCUGGAACGACGAUCCAAAUGGCCGAAAGGCACGAUCGAAUCUCCCUUUCACCAAACUUUAUUGACACGAAUCGCUCCUCGGCUGCCUGGCUGCUGAUAAACAAACAACUGCUUCCCCACCAGGCGCCUGCUGCGUGUCGCCUGUUGUUGGCGAGAGUCGAAGUGAAAUACCUAAAGUCUUCUCCACCACACUUCGCCUGUCGCCAAGGAAACCGCGACGCUAACGGCUCACCACCGCCCACCUGUGUGUGGACACGAUGCCUCGGAAACUGUCUCCAGCCACAAACCGGAGGAGCUGAACGGAGGAUGCGUGAGACCAUCGAGCAGCCGCGCCCUCACCCCAUCUGGGAUCACACAGCCGCAGCACAUGCCUUCUGAUUGAUUUAUUCAAGAUUAAUUGUUGCUUUGUCGGCUCAUUGCUUCCAACCGGUUCGCGUCAGAUGUCUGUGCUUUGCACUACAUUUGAACGCGGUGCAAACAAAGGGUCCUCCGCUCGUCUCGUCGCCACGAUGCAGCUACAGGUCGGCGCCAUGAAUUAGGCCACCAAUAAAGACAGACGAGUCUGGCCUCCAAGGCGAUUACAGAUCCAAAAUGAAUCUUUAAGCUUCAGCUAUUUAUGACUCUUGUUUCUUGAAAAUGAUACAAGCUCUCGCUAAUUGGAUUUG